GACGAACGCUGGCGGCGUGCUUAACACAUGCAAGUCGAACGGAAAGGCCCCCACUUUUUUGGUGGGGGUGCUCGAGUGGCGAACGGGUGAGUAACACGUGGGUGAUCUGCCCUGUACUUCGGGAUAAGCUUGGGAAACUGGGUCUAAUACCGGAUAGGACCAUGGUUUAGUGUCUCAUGGUGGAAAUAUUAUUGUUUUGGUGCAGGAUGAGCUCGCGGCCUAUCAGCUUGUUGGUGGGGUAAUGGCCUACCAAGGCGUCGACGGGUAGCCGGCCUGAGAGGGUGGACGGCCACAUUGGGACUGAGAUACGGCCCAGACUCCUACGGGAGGCAGCAGUGGGGAAUAUUGCACAAUGGGCGCAAGCCUGAUGCAGCGACGCCGCGUGGGGGAUGACGGCCUUCGGGUUGUAAACUCCUUUCGUUAGGGACGAAGCCGCACCUUUUUUGGGUGUGGUGACGGUACCUUUGUUAAGAAGCACCGGCUAACUACGUG
Molecule: ribosomal RNA, 492 nt
Filed under: uncultured bacterium
Lineage: Bacteria
Description: partial 16S ribosomal RNA
Rfam family: Bacterial small subunit ribosomal RNA
Source: RNAcentral